UACGAAGGGGGCUAGCGUUGUUCGGAAUCACUGGGCGUAAAGGGCGCGUAGGCGGCUUUAUAAGUCGGGGGUGAAAGCCUGUGACUCAACCACAGAAUUGCCUUCGAUACUGUAGAGCUUGAGACCGGAAGAGGUAAGUGGAACUGCGAGUGUAGAGGUGAAAUUCGUAGAUAUUCGCAAGAACACCAGUGGCGAAGGCGGCUUACUGGUCCGGUUCUGACGCUGAGGCGCGAAAGCGUGGGGAGCAAACAGG
This 253-nucleotide ribosomal RNA is filed under the name uncultured bacterium. RNAcentral describes it as "partial 16S ribosomal RNA". It matches the Rfam family "Bacterial small subunit ribosomal RNA", at positions 524 to 776 of the family's 1533-position model. The record is from RNAcentral.